UCAGUUGUGAAAGUUUGCGGCUCAACCGUAAAAUUGCAGUUGAUACUGGGUACCUUGAGUGCAGCAUAGGUAGGCGGAAUUCGUGGUGUAGCGGUGAAAUGCUUAGAUAUCACGAAGAACUCCGAUUGCGAAGGCAGCUUACUGGACUGUAACUGACGCUGAUGCUCGAAAGUGUGGGUAUCAAACAGGAUUAGAUACCCUGGUAGUCCACACGGUAAACGAUGAAUACUCGCUGUUUGCGAUAUACGGCAAGCGGCCAAGCGAAAGCGUUAAGUAUUCCACCUGGGGAGUACGCCGGCAACGGUGAAACUCAAAGGAAUUGACGGGGGCCCGCACAAGCGGAGGAACAUGUGGUUUAAUUCGAUGAUACGCGAGGAACCUUACCCGGGCUUAAAUUGCACUCGAAUGAUCCGGAAACGGUUCAGCUAGCAAUAGCGAGUGUGAAGGUGCUGCAUGGUUGUCGUCAGCUCGUGCCGUGAGGUGUCGGCUUAAG
RNAcentral lists this ribosomal RNA (493 nucleotides) under uncultured bacterium. Its description in RNAcentral is "bacterial SSU rRNA". It matches the Rfam family "Bacterial small subunit ribosomal RNA", at positions 588 to 1084 of the family's 1533-position model. The record is from RNAcentral.